Molecule: ribosomal RNA, 253 nt
Filed under: uncultured bacterium
Lineage: Bacteria
Description: partial 16S ribosomal RNA
Rfam family: Bacterial small subunit ribosomal RNA
Source: RNAcentral
UACGUAGGGGCCGAGCGUUGUCCGGAUUCAUUGGGCGUAAAGAGCGUGUAGGCGGCCGCUUAAGUCCUGCGUGAAAUCUCGGAGCUCAACUCCGAGCGGUCGUGGGAAACUGGGCGGCUAGAGUGCGGGAGAGGAGAGUGGAAUUCCUGGUGUAGCGGUGAAAUGCGUAGAUAUCUGGAGGAACACCGGUGGCGAAGGCGGCAUCCUGGACCGGUAUUGACGCUGAGGCGCGAAAGCUAGGGGAGCAAACGGG